UGGCGGACGGGUGAGUAAUGUCGUGGGAAACUGCCUGAUGGGAGGGGGAUAACUACUGGAAACGGUAGCUAAUACCGCAUAACGUCGCAAGACCAAAGAGGGGGACCUUCGGGCCUCUUGCCAUCGGAUGUGCCCAGAUGGGAUUAGCUAGUAGGUGGGGUAACGGCUCACCUAGGCGACGAUCCCUAGCUGGUCUGAGAGGAUGACCAGCCACACUGGAACUGAGACACGGUCCAGACUCCUACGGGAGGCAGCAUG
This 258-nucleotide ribosomal RNA is filed under the name uncultured bacterium. RNAcentral describes it as "partial 16S ribosomal RNA". It matches the Rfam family "Bacterial small subunit ribosomal RNA", at positions 96 to 353 of the family's 1533-position model. The record is from RNAcentral.